GCGGAGGAAAAGAAACCAACAGGGAUUGCCUCAGUAACGGCGAGUGAAGCGGCAACAGCUCAAAUUUGAAAUCUGGCCCUAGGCCCGAGUUGUAAUUUGCAGAGGAUGCUUUUGGUGCGGUGCCUUCCAAGUUCCCUAGAACGGGACGCCAGAGAGGGUGAGAGCCCCGUACAGUUGGACACCAAGCCUUUGUAAAGCUCCUUCGACGAGUCGAGUAGUUUGGGAAUGCUGCUCAAAAUGGGAGGUAUAUUUCUUCUAAAGCUAAAUACCGGCCAGAGACCGAUAGCGCACAAGUAGAGUGAUCGAAAGAUGAAAAGCACUUUGAAAAGAGGGUUAAACAGCACGUGAAAUUGUUAAAAGGGAAGCGCUUGUGACCAGACUUGCGUCCGGUGAAUCACCCAGCUCUCGCGGCUGGGGCACUUCGCCGGCUCAGGCCAGCAUCAGCUCGCUGUCGGGGACAAAAGCUUCAGGAACGUAGCUCUCUUCGGGGAGUGUUAUAGCCUGUUGCAUAAUACCCUUCGGCGGGCUGAGGUACGCGCUCCGCAAGGAUGCUGGCAUAAUGGUCAUCAGCGACCCGUCUUGAAACACGGACCAAGGAGUCAACCUUAUGUGCGAGUGUUCGGGUGUCAAACCCCUACGCGUAAUGAAAGUGAACGCAGGUGAGAGCUUCGGCGCAUCAUCGACCGAUCCUGAUGUUCUCGGAUGGAUUUGAGUAAGAGCAUAUAGGGUUGGACCCGAAAGAAGGUGAACUAUGCGUGUAUAGGGUGAAGCCAGAGGAAACUCUGGUGGAGGCUCGCAGCGGUUCUGACGUGCAAAUCGAUCGUCAAAUAUGCGCA
RNAcentral lists this small RNA (836 nucleotides) under Colletotrichum gloeosporioides. Its description in RNAcentral is "eukaryotic LSU rRNA". It matches the Rfam family "Eukaryotic large subunit ribosomal RNA", at positions 50 to 917 of the family's 3401-position model. The record is from RNAcentral. Lineage: Eukaryota; Fungi; Ascomycota; Sordariomycetes; Glomerellales; Glomerellaceae.